Molecule: non-coding RNA, 240 nt
Organism: Camellia sinensis
Lineage: Eukaryota; Viridiplantae; Streptophyta; Magnoliopsida; Ericales; Theaceae
Source: RefSeq, a predicted model, not a curated record
UUUUUUUUUUUUUUCAAAAUGCUUUUACGUUGCUUCAGAACUGUUUAGAACCCUAGGGGUGUUGCUUCAAAACUCAGACGAAUUGAGAGUAGAGGGAACACGACGAGGAGAGGAGAGGCAGCGGUGAGGCAAGGGGAAACGACGGCGACGACAGCGAAACGACAGCGGCGAGGAUCAUGUCAAUGUCAAUGGGUUCAAACGUUGAUGCUGGAUAUUUGCAAAAUCAGAGAUGCAAUUGUG